Molecule: ribosomal RNA, 497 nt
Filed under: uncultured bacterium
Lineage: Bacteria
Description: partial 16S ribosomal RNA
Rfam family: Bacterial small subunit ribosomal RNA
Source: RNAcentral
GAUGAACGCUGGCGGCGUGCCUAAUACAUGCAAGUCGAGUGAACGGACGAGAAGCUUGCUUCUCUGAUGUUAGCGGCGGACGGGUGAGUAACACGUGGAUAACCUACCUAUAAGACUGGGAUAACUUCGGGAAACCGGAGCUAAUACCGGAUAAUAUUUUGAACCGCAUGGUUCAAAAGUGAAAGACGGUCUUGCUGUCACUUAUAGAUGGAUCCGCGCUGCAUUUGCUAGUUGGUAAGGUAACGGCUUACCAAGGCAACGAUGCAUAGCCGACCUGAGAGGGUGAUCGGCCACACUGGAACUGAGACACGGUCCAGACUCCUACGGGAGGCAGCAGUAGGGAAUCUUCCGCAAUGGGCGAAAGCCUGACGGAGCAACGCCGCGUGAGUGAUGAAGGUCUUCGGAUCGUAAAACUCUGUUAUUAGGGAAGAACAUAUGUGUAAGUAACUGUGCACAUCUUGACGGUACCUAAUCAGAAAGCCACGGCUAACUACGUG